RNAcentral lists this ribosomal RNA (340 nucleotides) under Staphylococcus aureus. Its description in RNAcentral is "bacterial SSU rRNA". It matches the Rfam family "Bacterial small subunit ribosomal RNA", at positions 1 to 329 of the family's 1533-position model. The record is from RNAcentral. Lineage: Bacteria; Bacillati; Bacillota; Bacilli; Caryophanales; Staphylococcaceae.
UUUUAUGGAGAGUUUGAUCCUGGCUCAGGAUGAACGCUGGCGGCGUGCCUAAUACAUGCAAGUCGAGCGAACGGACGAGAAGCUUGCUUCUCUGAUGUUAGCGGCGGACGGGUGAGUAACACGUGGAUAACCUACCUAUAAGACUGGGAUAACUUCGGGAAACCGGAGCUAAUACCGGAUAAUAUUUUGAACCGCAUGGUUCAAAAGUGAAAGACGGUCUUGCUGUCACUUAUAGAUGGAUCCGCGCUGCAUUAGCUAGUUGGUAAGGUAACGGCUUACCAAGGCAACGAUGCAUAGCCGACCUGAGAGGGUGAUCGGCCACACUGGAACUGAGACACGG